AUCAACUUUCGAUGGUAGGAUAGAGGCCUACCAUGGUGGUAACGGGUAACGGGGUGUUAGGGCACGACACCGGAGAGGGGAACUGAGAAACGGCUACCACAUCCAAGGAUGGCAGCAGGCGCGCAAAUUACCCAAUCCCGACACGGGGAGGUAGUGACAAUAAAUAACAAUACGGGGUUCUUUCGGAUCUCGUAAUUGGAAUGAGUACAAUUUAAAUCUCUUAACGAGGAACAAUUGGAGGGCAAGUCUGGUGCCAGCAGCCGCGGUAAUUCCAGCUCCAAUAGCGUAUAUUAAAGUUGCUGCAGUUAAAAAGCUCGUAGUUGAAUUUCGGGGUUAGUAGGUUGGUCAUGCCUCUGGUAUGUACUGGUCUCACUGAUUCCUCCUUCCUGAUGAACCGUAAUGCCAUUAAUUUGGUGUUGCGGGGGAUUUGGACUGUUACUUUGAAAAAAUUAGAGUGUUUAAAGCAGGCUAACGCUUGAAUACAUUAGCAUGGAAUAAUGAAAUAGGACGUUCGAUCCUAUUUUGUUGGUUUCUAGGAUUGACGUAAUGAUUAAUAGGGAUAGUUGGGGGCAUUAGUAUUCAAUUGUCAGAGGUGAAAUUCUUGGAUUUA
This 610-nucleotide ribosomal RNA is filed under the name uncultured Glomus. Its description in RNAcentral is "SSU rRNA". It matches the Rfam family "Eukaryotic small subunit ribosomal RNA", at positions 314 to 928 of the family's 1831-position model. The record is from RNAcentral. Lineage: Eukaryota; Fungi; Glomeromycota; Glomeromycetes; Glomerales; Glomeraceae.